This 481-nucleotide ribosomal RNA is filed under the name uncultured Acidobacteriota bacterium. RNAcentral's name for it is "bacterial SSU rRNA". It matches the Rfam family "Bacterial small subunit ribosomal RNA", at positions 13 to 525 of the family's 1533-position model. Lineage: Bacteria; Pseudomonadati; Acidobacteriota. The record is from RNAcentral.
UUGAUCCUGGCUCAGAAUCAACGCUGGCGGCGUGCCUAACACAUGCAAGUCGAACGAGAAAGUGGAGCAAUCCAUGAGUACAGUGGCGACCGGGUGAGUUACACGUGACUAACCUACCUUCGAGUGGGGGAUAACCUCGGGGAAACCGAUGCUAAUACCGCAUAACAUCGAGAGAUCAAAGGAGCAAUUCGCUUGAAGAUGGGGUCGCGGCUGAUUAGCUAGUUGGCGGGGUAAUGGCCCACCAAGGCGUAGAUCGGUAGCCGGCCUGAGAGGGCGCACGGCCACACUGGAACUGAAACUCGGUCCAGACUCCUACGGGAGGCAGCAGUGGGGAAUUUUGCGCAAUGGGUGAAACCCUGACGCAGCAACGCCGCGUGGAGGAUGAAGCCCCUUGGGGUGUAAACUCCUUUCGACCAAGACGAUAAUGACGGUACUGGUGGAAGAAGCACUGGCUAACUCUGUGCCAGCAGCCGCGGUAAUU